CUGUUAUCAAAAUGGCCGUUAUGGAGCAAGUGGUGGAAUUGGUGUUUACUGGGGCCCAGAUAACUCACAAAAUGUUUCAAAAAGGCUGGAAGGGAGGCAGACCAAUCAAAGGGCUGAAAUUGAGGCUGCUUGUACAGCUGUGGAACAGGCCAGGAGUCAAAAUAUCACAAGACUUAAUAUUCAUACGGACAGCAAGUUUACAAUAAAC
Long non-coding RNA from Bombina bombina (fire-bellied toad), 208 nucleotides. RefSeq lists it as uncharacterized. The transcript has 3 exons. The record is from RefSeq and is a predicted model, not a curated record. NCBI's taxonomy places the organism in Eukaryota, Metazoa, Chordata, Amphibia, Anura, Bombinatoridae.